UAAGACAGAGGUCCCGAGCGUUAGGCGGAAUCACUGGGCUUAAAGCGUGUGUAGGCGGAUGCCUAAGUACCUUGUGAAAUCCCACGGCUCAACCGUGGAACUGCUUGGUAUACUGGGUGUCUUGAGCCACUUAGGGGCGACCGGAACAGACGGUGGAGCGGUGAAAUGCGUAGAUAUCGUCUGGAACGCCAAUGGUGAAAACAGGUCGCUGGGAGUGUGCUGACGCUGAGACACGAAAGCCAGGGGAGCAAACGGGAUUAGAUACCCCGGUAGUCCUGGCCGUAAACGAUGUCGACUAGAUCGUGGUAGCUCUGACGUUAUCACGGUCGAAGUAAAAAUGUUAAGUCGACCGCCUGGGAAGUACGGUCGCAAGGCUA
This 377-nucleotide ribosomal RNA is filed under the name uncultured bacterium. Its description in RNAcentral is "bacterial SSU rRNA". It matches the Rfam family "Bacterial small subunit ribosomal RNA", at positions 521 to 896 of the family's 1533-position model. The record is from RNAcentral.